This 1503-nucleotide ribosomal RNA is filed under the name Minisyncoccota bacterium. RNAcentral's name for it is "bacterial SSU rRNA". It matches the Rfam family "Bacterial small subunit ribosomal RNA". The record is from RNAcentral. Lineage: Bacteria; Bacillati; Minisyncoccota.
UUGAGAGUUUGAUCCUGGCUCAGGAUGAACGCUGGCGGUGUGCCUAAGGCAUGCAAGUCGAACGAUAAACUCCGCUUGCGGAGUGGACAGUGGCAGACGGGUGAGUAACGCGUAGGAAUCUACCCUUUAGCGAGGAAUAGCCCAUCGAAAGGUGGAGUAAUACCUCAUGGUCCUUAUUCUCGAGAGUUUAUAAGGUAAAGAUUUAUCACUAAAGGAGGGGCCUGCGUCCUAUCAGGUAGUUGGUGGGGUAAUAGCCUACCAAGCCGAUGACGGGUAGCCGGUGUGAGAGCACGACCGGCCACAAGGUUACUGAGACACGGAACCUACACCUACGGGUGGCAGCAACCAGGAAUAUUGCGCAAUGGACGAAAGUCUGACGCAGCGACACCGCGUGUGGGAUGAAGCUCUUCGGAGUGUAAACCACUGUGGCGAGGGAGGAAUAACAUGACAGUACCUCGCUAGAAAGCACCAGCUAACUACGUGCCAGAAGCUUCGGUAAUACGUAGGGUGCGAGCGUUAUCCGGAUUUACUGGGCGUAAAGGGUCCGUAGGCGACCUGAUAAGUCUCUUGUUUAAGCCCGAGGCUCAACUUCGGACAGGCAAGAGAAACUAUUAGGAUUGAGUUAGUUCGAGGUAGCUGGAAUUCUCGGUGGAGGGGUGAAAUCCGUAGAGAUCGAGAGGAACGUCAAACGCGAAGGCAAGCUACUAGGACAUAACUGACGCUAAGGGACGAAAGCUUGGGUAGCAAAAGGGAUUAGAGACCCCUGUAGUCCAAGCCGUAAACUAUCUUUGCUAGUUGUUCCUGACUUCGGUUGGGAGUGACGUAAGUUAACACGUUAAGCAAAGCGCCUGGGGAGUACAAUCGCAAGAUUAAAACUCAAAGGAAUUGGCGGGGGAGCGUACAACCGGUGGAGCAUGUGGUUUAAUUCGAUACAAAGCGAAAAACUUUACCUGGGUUUGACAUCUAGCUGCAACGCUUGGGAAACCAAGAAGUCUUCGAGAGUGCUAGACAGGUGAUGCAUGGCUGUCGUCAGCUCGUGUCGUGAGACGUCCGCUUAAGUGCGGUAACGAGCGCAACCCUUAUCGUAUGUUACACGUACCAUACGAGACUGCCCUGCUUAUGCAGGGAGGAAGGAGAGGACGACGUCAAGUCAGCAUGUCCCUUACAUCCAGGGCUACACACAUCCUACAAUGGGAAGGACAACGGGUCGCGAUGCCGUGAGGCUGAGCUAAUCCUAAUAAACCUUCCCUCAGUUCAGAUUGAAGGCUGAAACUCGCCUUCAUGAAGCCGGAAUCGGUAGUAAUCGCAAAUCAGAAGGUUGCGGUGAAUACGUUCUCGCUCCUUGCACACACUGCCCGUCAAGCCAGCAAAGUCAGCAGCGCCCGAAGCGGGUGACCGUAACUAGUUUACUAGAGCGGCCCUACUACGGCGAGGUUGGCGAUGAGGACUAAGUCGUAACAAGGUAUCCGUACUGGAAGGUGCGGAUGGAUUACCUCCUUUCUA